CUGUGGCUCCUGCACCAUCAGUCUCUCUCCCCCCUCCAGCUCGUUGUGCCAGCAGCUUCUUCGCAUCACACCCGCCCUCCUCCCCUAACGCUUGUGGCUCCUCCAUCCUUGGUGCCCCCCUAACACUUAUGACUCCUCCGCCCUUGGUCCCCCCCUCGAUGCCUGUGGUUCUUGUCAUUGACACCCCAACCCUAUAGUUGCCGACCCUGAGGGACCGUCGUUGCGGCCGCUGGGACCGUCGCCAUGAGAGAUGAGAUUGGAGCUCAAGAGGGAGAGAGAUUAGAGACUCGGAGGAGGAGCACAAAAUCUA
Molecule: long non-coding RNA, 310 nt
Filed under: Elaeis guineensis (African oil palm)
Lineage: Eukaryota; Viridiplantae; Streptophyta; Magnoliopsida; Arecales; Arecaceae
Description: long non-coding RNA (EGUI_LNC010982)
Source: RNAcentral